GUGCAACCGCCAGGCCUUCUGCCGCCCCAGGUCUGGCUGUCAGAGGUCUCCCCCAGGCCCAGCAGCCCAGGUGGCACCCGCAUGUGCUGUCUCCCGGACCAAAUCUGUGUCCUCCACGGGACGUUCUUUGUGUUUCUAAUUCUCCCGGGCCAUUUUUUUUUUUUCUUUCAGUUGUCAGAGAGUCGGAUCUAUAGAGGUUAUAGUCACCACCUCGCCCACAGUCUCGGGAAUCCCCAGCCGAACCAAAUGAGUCUUGGAGCCAAGAGCACCAAAGCCACCAAGAGCAACGUUCACCACCUCUGUCACCCGGAGGUCGGGAGCCUCUGUGGCGGCUGCUUCGUGGUUAUUCCCGGGUGACUUUGUGAAGCGCACAGAUGGGGGACGCCUCGGGCACUCAUUCAGGGCCAGCUGAUGGAUCGUCUCAUUUCCCGACUUGAUGGGCCGGAACCUGGGCUGGCGGGGCCGGCGGGGACAAUGUGCGUGUAGGGACCCAGCCGGAUGGCCCCGUAGGCCGGGCGCUGCGUCCCCGGUUCCCGAGGACAGCGUGACUGAGUGAGGUGGCGGUUUUCCGGAGCUCCAGGCGCCGCGCCGCCUCCUUCCUGGGGCCUCGGCGUCCUCCCGCACCGCGCCGUUGGCAUCCUUUCCUGCGGGAGGCUGCAAGAGGACGGGACUCGGAGAGGACUCUUCGGGGGUGUGCAAGCCAGCCGCGGGAGGAGGGGUGGUGGUUCCCAGAAUUUCCCCCAGGC
Ailuropoda melanoleuca (giant panda) is the source of this 746-nucleotide long non-coding RNA. RefSeq lists it as uncharacterized. The record is from RefSeq and is a predicted model, not a curated record. Lineage: Eukaryota; Metazoa; Chordata; Mammalia; Carnivora; Ursidae. The transcript has 3 exons.